RNAcentral lists this long non-coding RNA (346 nucleotides) under Cavia porcellus (domestic guinea pig). RNAcentral's name for it is "lncRNA (ENSCPOG00000035317.1)". The record is from RNAcentral. Lineage: Eukaryota; Metazoa; Chordata; Mammalia; Rodentia; Caviidae.
AAGGCAGCAGAUUCUGAACCUUCUUCCUGCAAGAAAUUAAACUUAUUUUGAAUGCUUUCUUCUCACUUGAUGUUGGGCAAGUGACAAACACCUUGGGAUCAGUCUUCUCAUCUGCAAAGUGACAAUGUUUGCACCUCUUCUGUCCACUGCUCAUCCUGCUAUGAAAGUGAAGAGGAGAGACAUGUGUAUCCCACACACUGCCAAGGGUGCAGACCAUGAGAGCAGGUUCAGCCUCCCAUUGUCAAUUUGAGACCUCUGUUCCUGAUGCCACGAGAAGCGGAAAAAUCAACUGUUGUUGACAAAUGCUUCCAUAUGUGCCUUGAGAUGUCACUGAUUCAGACCCACA